This 248-nucleotide ribosomal RNA is filed under the name uncultured Parachlamydia sp. Its description in RNAcentral is "partial 16S ribosomal RNA". It matches the Rfam family "Bacterial small subunit ribosomal RNA", at positions 796 to 1041 of the family's 1533-position model. The record is from RNAcentral. Lineage: Bacteria; Pseudomonadati; Chlamydiota; Chlamydiia; Parachlamydiales; Parachlamydiaceae.
CUUGCCUUAAACUAUGUAUACUUGGUGUAGUUAGGCUCAACCCUGACUGUACCGUAGCGAACGCGUUAAGUAUACCGCCUGGGGAGUACGCUCGCAAGGGUAAAACUCAAAAGAAUUGACGGGGACCCGCACAAGCAGUGGAGCAUGUGGUUUAAUUCGAUGCAACGCGAAGAACCUUACCUGGACUUGACAUGCUUUUGACCGCUGUAGAAAUACAGUUUUCUCGCAAGAGACAGAAGCACAGGUGC